This is a long non-coding RNA of Homo sapiens (human), 1205 nucleotides long. RefSeq lists it as uncharacterized. The record is from RefSeq and is a predicted model, not a curated record. The transcript has 3 exons. NCBI's taxonomy places the organism in Eukaryota, Metazoa, Chordata, Mammalia, Primates, Hominidae.
UGUCCAUUCUCAAUGCCUUCCCACCCAGCGCUGAGCCCCACUUGGUGAAGGCAAUGCCUGUCAUGUUCACCACAAUAUCCCCUCCCCCAUCACCACGACUGGUCCACAGUGAUGCUCAAAAAAGAUCUGUUGGUAGGCAAUGGGAAGGUGCAUUCAUGUCAUCCUGCAGGCGGAAUUCUCCACGAGUUUUGAGCAGCCUCGGGUUUCCCACCACCUCCAAAUCAUGGAAGACACACGGCAGAGCCCGCGGAGCCAUGGCCAGCCCUUCCAGCAGCUCCGAAGCCACUGGCAAGCCCCGAGGCAGGGAUGGCAGUCCCAGGAUGGGGGAGGAGGACGUCCCUCCCGAAGAGAAGAGGCUGGGGCUGUAGCUGGAGGGGGGAAGCGCACAGCCCGAGGACUGCGAGGACGGGGAGGACCCGCCGCUGCCAGGCAGGAAGGAGACCGGCACCCAGACAGGUGGCGACGGCAAAGGAGCAGCAUGGGCAGCCCUCCUCGCCAUGGGCAGGAUCAGAGCCCCCCCGCCCAGUCUUGGGGUUGCUCCUGGAUGCUGUCUGGGAGGCUUGCUCAUGGUGACAUCCUCAUCUCCCCGUCCACGUUACCGCAUUCAGAGCUUGGGUCACCUGGACACUGAACUCAGGUGAAUUUUCUCUGAGAUCCCGGGAGAAGGAGGACAGUUCUUUGGAAGGUUUUCCAGGGCCGAUCACGGAAAGGAUGAGAAGGGAGAGGUCCUGGUCGGGGACACAAUUAUGGUGUCAGUGUAACGCCGGGAAACUUUAUUGCAUGAAGUCCCUCUCACUCCCUCUACCUCCCUCUUUUACGUGGACUCUGCCAAAGACCAGGAUACCAGAAUGCGGUGGAGAGGCCAAGUGUAGUGAGACCUUGGGAAUGCGAUUCUGGAGCCAGGCGGCUGGGGUUUGCAUCCUGGUUCUGCCCCUCCUUAGCUGGCUGACAUGGCACAAGCCACUUACCCUGUCUGAGCCUUACUGUCUUCAGUGGCAAAUGGAUCUGUCAACAGGCUCCAUUGCCUGGGGUUGUUGCUGCUGAGAUUAAGGGAAGCUCGUCCAUAGAAGCACUUAGCGUUGUGCCUGGCACAUAGUGUAUGGUGGAUAAGUGGGACUUAAGACUAAAACUCAUGCCCUGAUGUGUUUUUGCAGUGAUGUUUUGUUCUGGAGUACGUCACAAGAGACAAGGUUCUUGGCUGGGCA